CCCGGGCCUUGUACACACCGCCCGUCACACCACGAAAGUCGGUAACACCCGAAGCCCAGUGGCCUAACCCGCAAGGGAGGAGCUGUCGAAGGUGGGAUCGGCGAUUGGGGUG
This 112-nucleotide ribosomal RNA is filed under the name uncultured bacterium. RNAcentral describes it as "partial 16S ribosomal RNA". It matches the Rfam family "Bacterial small subunit ribosomal RNA", at positions 1373 to 1482 of the family's 1533-position model. The record is from RNAcentral.